ACUUUUACUUACACCCAACUCGCCAGAGAACUACGAGCAAUGCUUAAAACUCAAAGGACUUGACGGUUCCCCAUAUCCACCUAGAGGAGCCUGUCCUAUAAUUGAUAACCCCCACUAAACCUCACCCCUUUUAGCUUAUCAGCCUGUAUACUUCCGUCGUCAACCUACCACGUGAGCGUAACUCAGUAGGUUCCAUCGCCUAACCCGCACAAACGCCAGGUCAAGGUGCAGCAAAUAAAGGGGGAAGAGAUGGGCUACAUUCUCUAGCAUAGAGCAUACGAAAGGCUAAGAUGAAACCUAGCCAGAAGGCGGAUUUAGUAGUAAAGAGUGAAUAGAGUGCACUCUUUAACAAGGCACUGGAGUGCGUACACACCGCCCGUCACCCUCCUCAAAACCCUCACACUAGUACUUAACACCCUGACAACUCAAAGAGGAGGCAAGUCGUAACU
This 449-nucleotide ribosomal RNA is filed under the name Craugastor aff. laevissimus JWS-2013. RNAcentral describes it as "partial 12S ribosomal RNA". It matches the Rfam family "Microsporidia small subunit ribosomal RNA", at positions 752 to 1276 of the family's 1311-position model. The record is from RNAcentral. Lineage: Eukaryota; Metazoa; Chordata; Amphibia; Anura; Craugastoridae.